GGCCCCAUCGUCUAACGGUCAGGACGUCACUCUUUCAAGGUGAAAACCGGGGUUCGAUUCCCCGUGGGGCCG
RNAcentral lists this transfer RNA (72 nucleotides) under Burkholderiales bacterium RIFOXYC2_FULL_59_8. RNAcentral describes it as "tRNA-Glu". It matches the Rfam family "tRNA". Rfam says of the family: Transfer RNA (tRNA) molecules are approximately 80 nucleotides in length. Their secondary structure includes four short double-helical elements and three loops (D, anti-codon, and T loops). Lineage: Bacteria; Pseudomonadati; Pseudomonadota; Betaproteobacteria; Burkholderiales. The record is from RNAcentral.